RNAcentral lists this ribosomal RNA (504 nucleotides) under uncultured bacterium. RNAcentral's name for it is "partial 16S ribosomal RNA". It matches the Rfam family "Bacterial small subunit ribosomal RNA", at positions 28 to 507 of the family's 1533-position model. The record is from RNAcentral.
GACGAACGCUGGCGGCGUGCCUAAUACAUGCAAGUAGAACGCACAGAUUAUACCGUUGCUCGCUACACCAUAGACUGUGAGUUGCGAACGAGAGAGUAACGAGUAUGUAACCUGACUGGUAUCGGGGGAUAACUAUUGGAAACGAUAGCUAAUACCGCAUAAUAUUGAUUGUUGAAUGAUAAUUAACUGUAAGGUUGAAUCGUACCACUACCAGAUGGACCUACUUAGUAUUAGCUAGUAGGUAGGGUAACGGCAGCCCAAGGCAAUGAUACAUAUCCGACCGGAGAGUGGGGUCGCCCACACGGGAACUGAGCCACGGUCCAGACUCCUACGGGAGGCGGCAGUAGGGAAUUUUGCACAAGGGUCAAAAGCCUAACGGAGCAACGCCGCGUGAGUGAUGAAGGUCGUCGGAUCGUAAAACUCUUUUAUUGGGAAAGAACAGAUGGGUAAGUAAAUAUUCACGUCUUGACGGUACCUAAACAGAAAGCCACGGCUAACUACGUG